This 320-nucleotide non-coding RNA is filed under the name Trypanosoma cruzi marinkellei. RNAcentral describes it as "Eukaryotic large subunit ribosomal RNA". It matches the Rfam family "Eukaryotic large subunit ribosomal RNA", at positions 3063 to 3401 of the family's 3401-position model. The record is from Rfam by way of RNAcentral. Lineage: Eukaryota; Euglenozoa; Kinetoplastea; Trypanosomatida; Trypanosomatidae.
GUUUCUGGAGUUUGUCGAACGGCAAGUGCUCCGACGCUAUCGCACGGUGGUUCUCGGCUGAACGCCUCUAAGCCAGAAGCCAGUCCCAAGACCAGAUGCCCACUCGACAACAAAAAGCAUGUAUUUUGUUGUUGCUUGUUUUUGCUGAGUGUGUCAUAUAUAUAUAUAUAUAUGUAUAUGUAUAUGUAUGCAGCUGUCUUUUUUGGGAAGAGUAGAGAAGGAAGAGGUUAUAUACUUCACCGGCGCGGCGGGGGGAGGAGCGGCACGCAUGGGUUUUUCCUGUGUGUGUGUGUGUGUCUGCGUAAUGUAUAGAUGUUUAU